UMUUGUAGCAAUACAAGGCAGACGGCUCAGUAACGCGUAGUCAACCUACCCUAUGGACGGGRAUAACCUCGGGAAACUGAGWAUAAURCCCGAUAGAACACUAUACCUGGAAUGGUUUGUGUUCCAAAYRAUUUAUYGCCRUAGGAUGGGACUGCGGCCUAUCAGYUUGUUGGUGAGGUAAUGGCCCACCAAGACUAUUACAGGUACGGGCUCUGAGAGGAGUGGCCCGGAGAUGGGUACUGAGACACGGACCCAGGCCCUAUGGGGCGCAGCAGGCGAGAAAACUUUGCAAUGUGCGAAAGCACGACAAGGUUAAUCCGAGUGGUUUCUGCUAAAGGAACCUUUUGACAGUCCUAGAAACACUGUUGAAUAAGGGGUGGGCAAGUUCUGGUGUCAGCCGCCGCGGUAAAACCAGCACCUCAAGUGGUCAGGAUGAUUAUUGGGCCUAAAGCAUCCGUAGCCGGCUCUGUAAGUUUUCGGUUAAAUCUGUACGCUYAACGUACAGGCUGCUGGGAAUACUGCAGRGCUAGGGAGUGGGAGAGGUAGACGGUACUCGGGAGGAAGUGGUAAAAUGCUUUGAUCUCUCGAUGACCACCUGUGGCGAAGGCGGUCUACCAGAACACGUCCGACGGUGAGGGAUGAAAGCUGGGGGAGCAAACCGGAUUAGAUACCCGGGUAGUCCCAGCUGUAAACUAUGCAAACUCAGUGAUGCACUGGCUUAUGGCCNGU
Molecule: ribosomal RNA, 729 nt
Filed under: uncultured archaeon
Lineage: Archaea
Description: bacterial SSU rRNA
Rfam family: Archaeal small subunit ribosomal RNA
Source: RNAcentral